RNAcentral lists this long non-coding RNA (1431 nucleotides) under Coturnix japonica (Japanese quail). Its description in RNAcentral is "lncRNA (ENSCJPG00005008628.1)". The record is from RNAcentral. Lineage: Eukaryota; Metazoa; Chordata; Aves; Galliformes; Phasianidae.
CUGCCUGCAGCAAUGUGAAUAGAAUCGGUAAUUUCACGCUAUUAUCUUUUUCUCUAUUUUAAAGAUAAAUGGUAGUGGAGAUCAAGUUGAUUUUAAAAGCUCAUUGUAUAAAAUGAUUACAUUAAGCCAUGCUGUAUUACAGAAAUGAUCUGCGUGUAUUGAAUUAAAUCAUGUUUUUUCUAGUGAUCUCAGCAGUAGCAGAAUGGAGAUGUUUUAAUCAUUGUAUUAUCAGUUUGUGAGAUACUUUUUCAGGUUUGGAUUCCCAUGCCACGUGUUUCCUAAGGGUUUUUCUCCUAAGUAAUUCCCAUUGCACUGAGUGGAGUUACUGCCUCCUCCAUCUGAACCUGAAAUCCUCCUGAUUAAACUCUGACAUAUUGAACAUCCAGCUGUUUUAUUAUUGGGUUUUUAACGACCAUUUGAAAGGGAUGCUCUGAGUAACCUGCAGAGAGACUUUUUCAAAUGAAGCUCUCAGCUUCUGAUAAACCCAGCAACUCGUUGUCCAGCUUCCUGUUCCUGAUAUGCAGAACACAUGUCAGAACAACUGGCCUAAUGAGAGAUGAAAAAUGGACAUGGCCAGGUCUGGUUCUGGAAACUGCAACACUUAGUGAGGCAUCAAAUAACAUCUACAGGAAUGUCCAGCUGAAGAGCAAAAGUUCCUUGAUGAGUCAAGACUGCGGGAUGCCUCACUGUUCAAAUGCCUUUUGUUGCUCCCUCAGGGUACCAUUGGCAUUACACACUCCCAGGGCAAACAGUAUUUGGAAACAGCAAAAGUUUUCUGAAUUCAGCACUGUUGCUUAAGAGUUGCUGUGGGCUGAACGAGGUUGCUGCUGUACUCUCAUCAUUAAUCAUUGAGUGAAAUUUUGCUUCUGCUGUGUCUUCCAUACUGUUUUCAAAUUCUUGUUUUUAUUUCCCAAGCACUGCUUUCAUCUUGCCUUGAAUCGUUCACUAUUUUUUCAGUUAAUCCACUCUAGUGGAGUGGCAAACAAGGCUGUCCCCAAAGACAUGCCUGCUGCUGAUUGCAAGCAUUUUUUUUAGUAUUGUAAUUGCACCAGAUGACAUUGUGAAAUGAAUCUCAUCCUGUAAUACAGACUGUGAGCGAUAUGGAAAGCAAUCAUAAGAAAGUCUCUAUUGUAUACAGGUCUAACCUAUGUUAAAUUAAUUGAAAUCAGUUUCUGUGGGAUCAAACCUGAAAUUAUCACCUUCAACAAAACCUGGCAUGCUAUUUGUAUAGUUACUGUUCAUUAGAAUAUAACUUGUGAAUCAACACAAAAAAAGAAAUGUGUCACGCACCACUUAUUUUAGAAGAUCCCAUGGUUCUCAUUUGCCCUUGCUCUUGUUCUGUCCCUUGUUGUCACAUUUAAAAGAUUCUAGAAUUCCAGCUAUAGGAGAAGCAAAGGCCUCUACUACUGGUACAAGUGUCCUAGAAGUCAG